GGGGUUAUAGUUUAAAUGGAAAAACUGCGAUUUUGCAUAUCGUUAUUUCGGGUUCGAUUCCUGAUAACUCCA
Talaromyces stipitatus ATCC 10500 is the source of this 72-nucleotide transfer RNA. It matches the Rfam family "tRNA". Rfam says of the family: Transfer RNA (tRNA) molecules are approximately 80 nucleotides in length. Their secondary structure includes four short double-helical elements and three loops (D, anti-codon, and T loops). Further hydrogen bonds mediate the characteristic L-shaped molecular structure. tRNAs have two regions of fundamental functional importance: the anti-codon, which is responsible for specific mRNA codon recognition, and the 3' end, to which the tRNAs corresponding amino acid is attached (by aminoacyl-tRNA synthetases). tRNAs cope with the degeneracy of the genetic code in two manners: having more than one tRNA (with a specific anti-codon) for a particular amino acid; and 'wobble' base-pairing, i.e. permitting non-standard base-pairing at the 3rd anti-codon position. The record is from Rfam. NCBI's taxonomy places the organism in Eukaryota, Fungi, Ascomycota, Eurotiomycetes, Eurotiales, Trichocomaceae.